This is a long non-coding RNA of Papaver somniferum (opium poppy), 275 nucleotides long. RefSeq lists it as uncharacterized. NCBI's taxonomy places the organism in Eukaryota, Viridiplantae, Streptophyta, Magnoliopsida, Ranunculales, Papaveraceae. The record is from RefSeq and is a predicted model, not a curated record. The transcript has 3 exons.
AUUGGUGGUGGACAGACAAAGAAAUUGAUGCUCUUGUUUAUCCUCAAGGAAGACGGUAAACCCUCAAAUCCAAAUUAUGUUUGCUUAUCUGAUUUCUCUUUCUGAAAACAUAGUGAAUUAGCCACCGAUUCUGCAAUCUUUGAUUAUUGAUCAUCUUAGCAUCUAAGCACGAGAAGAGGCUGAAAAGGCCAAAGAAGGUGAUGGAUCCACAACACUUUCAAUGAGUGGAAGAUGAUUUGGUUAAAUGGGAUUGUUCUUGUUUGGAAAAAGGAGAG